RNA transcript from Macadamia integrifolia, 4644 nucleotides. RefSeq lists it as uncharacterized. The record is from RefSeq and is a predicted model, not a curated record. Lineage: Eukaryota; Viridiplantae; Streptophyta; Magnoliopsida; Proteales; Proteaceae. The transcript is spliced from 12 exons.
UCUAUAGUUUCUACUUGAUCUGGUUUCGAUUGCCACCCAAAAAGGAGGAGAGAUCUGGUUUCCGUCAUCUUCUCGCCUUUUGAUCCAAAGGAAAGAGCAAAAAUUGCUCUUCUGAUUUCCCUGCAGACUAGAGAGAGAGAGAGAGAUGGAAACUGAUCUGUCGCUUAUAGAAAUGAGCAUUGAAGAGGAAGACGAAUCCCUACUACUACUGGGAAAGGAUAUCAAGGAGAAGGAGGGUAACUCCGAUGCAAGUCUUCAUGAUCUCGAUUUCUCUUGCUCUCCACUCUAUACUCUCAGAUCUAAACGUUCUUCUGCUGAUUCCACCCAUCCUCCUCUGAUACCAACUCUCUCAGACGGAUCGGAGGUGAAUGAGGGUGGGAAGAAACCUUCUUGUUCAUCACCACCACCUUCUGAAGAAGACACCGUCGACAACAAAGAGAAUCUCGAUAAAAUAAAUUUACUUGUGUCACCGAAUUUGAAGGCUGGGCAGCAGCAAAUGAAGAGAAGAAAAAAAGGCGGUGGAUUCCAUAUGCGCAAAAGCAUAGCCUGGAACAGAGCUUUCUUUACCGAAGAAGGUGUUCUUGAUCCUGAAGAAUUGUCCUUACUGAGUGAAUCUUUCAGUAAGCCUAGCACUGGGUCCCUGUACACUGUUGAGGAAGAAGGGGGAACAUCACUAUCCGAGUGUUCUAUCUCAAGUGGGAAUGGAUCAAAUGUACAUACUAACGAAGAGAAGUUAUUCAAAGAAUUCCCUGCCACGCCUUCUGAUGAAGUUCACAAGGUUUCUGGUGGUUUAUUACCCAAACCUAAGUCCUCAGUUCGAGAAGAUGCAGCUCCGUUGCAUGGGGCCUCAAAGAAGGUGCAAUCAACCAAAGGAUUUCACAGAGUUGGGUCUCGACAAGGAAGUUGUCCCCAGCCCGCGGGUUCCACUUCUCAGAAGCAGCUUCUUAACAGGAACACAAGAAGUGCAACAAAGAAAGAGUCAAAACUGCCUAAAUUCUCAGCUCCAAAGCCAGAUUCUUCUUCAUUACCUACAGCCCCCAAAACUCUUAAUUUGUCUGUCAAGCAGUCAAGGCCCACUCAGACUAGAGCAUCAGCAAUUCAUGCAGGGAGGAAUUCUAGCUUGAAAGGCAACUUAAGUAAUACUAAAAAACUUAUUGGUUGCACUCCCUCAUCCACUAAAUCCUCUGUUCACAGUUCUCUGAAAGUCUUGGCUAACUCUCAUUUGGAAACACAAAAAUCAGCCAAUCCCAAGACACUGCAGGAUAAAAAAGGUGCUAAUAAUGGCUUGAAGGUGACUCCAAAUCUAACAACUCCUGCUGCUGAUAUGCAAGCAUCCACUGGUCAGGCUGGUUUAGGCAACAUGGCUGUACUGCUCCCUCAAAAAUGCAAAUCUGUUGGUUCAGACAAUCAAUAUAACGUGAAUGUCCAACCAACCAAACCAUCAGGUUUGCGGAUGCCUUCUCCUUCGCUACGAUACUUCGAUCAGCAGCCAAAAACUUCAGCUCUGCGUGGCUUGCAGUGUCAGAAGAGUACUCAAUCAUACAGUCGUUCGAAUGCUAAUAUUCCCAACUUGAGGAAGGUUGAUAAAUCUGAGAAUAUUGGUAUGGUCACAGCUCUCCACGCACCUCUGCCUAUGUUGGGUCCUGAUGCCACUACCACAAGAACCAUUGGGCACUUAAAUUCUAGUUGCUCGAUUCCGUAUGUCGCUCCUGCUACAAGUUCAGGCAAUAUUGGUGAGGUCAAAAUGCUCCAUGCACAGAGUAGAUUGCCCAUUGUGGGCACUGCUGCUGUAAGUAACAAUGAUACGGUCUCCAUGAACUCAAUUUUGGGGUGCUCCACUCCUUCUGCACCAGGUUCUUCACAUCCAACCCCAAAAGCAGGCUUAGAGCUUAAGAAUCAGUACGAGGAGGAAAUUGAAGUUCCAUCUCAUAUCAAUGAUAAUUAUGACACAAUAAAUUGUUGGGAGCAGCAGUCACAUGGUGUUUCUGAUUGUAGUAACAAGGAAUCUGCGAACUUGGCUGAUGAAGUGAACCCAUUCUUUGACAAAAUUGACCAUAGUCCUCAUGAGGAUAAGCAGAGAUUCCAUAUGAACGAUAACAUGUUGCUCGUACAAAGUGGAUCUUCUGAAAAAUCCCAUAAGUCUAAUGAUUUUGUGAACCAUCACGAUGUGUGUCCUCAAAAUGGCUAUUCCAGUUCAAGUGCAUCAGAAAUAUCACAUGCUUUAUCUCCAUCCAUUUCCACAAUGGCAGAGAAAGGGGGUUUUAGUGGGAAAAAUGCCCUGAUCAAGUACCCAAAUUUUGAAGGUGUGGCAUUGGAAUCUAUAAGUUGCAGUGGAUUAAAUGAAAAUCAUGAUAUUUUCCCUGAUACAGUGUUAUCUGAUGCCAUUAAGUGUUGCAACCCAGUGACAUCAGCACCAAGUGCUGAUUGCUUACCAGCUGAUCAUGGUUUAUGUGAAGAGUCCAAUGAACAUCCAACCCCAAAAUCAAGCUUAGAGCUUAAGAGUCAGUACAAGGUGGAAAUUGAAGUUCCAUCUCAUCUCAAUGAUACUUGUGACAGAAUAAAUUGUCGGGAGCAGCAGUCACAUGUUGUUUCUGAUUGUAGUAACAAGGAAUCUGCGAACCUGGCUGAUGUAGGGAAACCCAUCCUUGACGAAAUUAACCAUAGUCCUCAGGAGGAUAAGCAGAGAUUCCAUAUGAAAGAUAACAUGUUGCUCGUACAAAGUGGAUCUUCUGAACAAUCCCAUAAGUCUAAUGAUUUUGUGAACCAUCACGAUGUGUGUCCUCAAAAUGGCUAUUCCAGUUCAAGUGCAUCAGAAAUAUCACAUGCUUUAUCUCCAUCCAUUUCCACCAUGGGAGAGAAAGGGGGUUUUAGUGGGAAAAAUGCCCUGAUCAAGUACCCAAAUUUUGAAGGUGUGGCAUUGGAAUCUAUAAGUUGCAGUGGAUUAAAUGAAAAUCAUGAUAUUUUCCCUGAUACAGUGUUAUCUGAUGCCAUUGAGUGUUGCAACCUAGUGACAACAGCACCGAGUGCUGAUUGCUUACCAGCUGGUCAUGGUUUAAGAGAAGAGUCCAAGGAACAAUUAGUGGAUAGAGAGCCUGGUGCUUAUGAAUUUUUCCAAACCUUUCACAAGGAUAACCUGACAAAACAGAUGAAAGGCAACAAUUAUCCAGGACAAAGAACUGAAGAAUUUCAGGAAGAGAAUGAUAAUCCUUCUGAACUGGAUAUUGAGCAAAAUUUUUAUAGUGAUUACGAAAGAUUCGAGACGAAUGAUGGCAACAUGGUUGGACAAGGAAGAUCUUCGGAAGAAUUUCAAGAGGUGAAUAAACAUAGCCAUGUUAGUGAUCUUACUCCCAAAAGCAGAGUCUCAGUUGGAACAGAAUUUCAAAGUUCUCAUUUUUCAUCUAACCUAACCUCCGUAAGCAAGGUGCAAGUAGGGACCACUGGAACAGGUAAUGUGAUUAAGAACUCAAAUGUGGAAGAUCCAAAAUUAGAUUCUUUACAUGGCGACUUAUCAUUGGAUAGCGUUGACCAAAUCUGUGAUCCACAAUUAGAAGAUGUUGCUUGCAAAUGCAACGCAAGUUCUUCAGUGCUGCACAAUGAUUGCUUGAAAAUUAUUGGGGAUGAAUAUUCAGGGAAUCAACUGGUGCUAAGAAACUCAUUCCCUAAUAAAAUUAAACAGAUGUUGGAGAUGGAUGAAUGUACACUGCUGAUGGGUAAUGAGGCAUUGCUGGCAGAAAUAAGGUCUUCUAAAGAACCCCAGAAUGAUAAUGAUCCUGACAACUUUAUUAACAUCACUUUGAAAAGAAAGGAUUGUUAUGGAAGUGAAUCACAAAGCCCUCAUGUUCUUUCUCAGCUAAAACUUGCAAAAAAAGAUAUCGAAGGUUCAGCUGAAACAUCGAAGGAGACCAAGCAAUUACAUGUACAAGAUGCAGCACAACUGAACGUAUCUGCAGAUAGAAAUGUCUUACUAGAUGAUAUUAAUGCUGAUCUGCCUCAUAAUGAUAGUGUUCAAGAUGGUAAGCUUCAGUCUGUGACAGAGAAUGGAUUUCCUAUGAAGGUCAAUGAAACAGGUGACCCAGUUGAAGAAAAAAUUGUGGAUGGUUCAAAGCCUGAUUCUCUUACGCUGCAGAACGUUGUUCCAUUUUCUGAUGAAUGGUUAGCUGCUCUUGAGACUGCUGGGGAGGAGAUUCUGACAAGAAAAAGUGGAGCUGUGCAAAACUCCCCACCUGACAAGUCUCUUCCGGAACCCAGCCCAUGGUCCCCGGCUUAAAGCUAACGAUGAGGACCUAUUGGUAACUAGUAGAGGUUUUGAGACUGAAGUGGUGCAUUUUAUAAGGUGAAACGAAAGGCCAACCAAGAGAUUGGUCCAUUUGACUGCACAAAAUACACCAACCUGCCCAGCAGCCCCAGGUGACAUCUUGCCAAGAUGGUAGCCUUUGGAUCUUUUCUUGCUUACAUGAUGUAACUGAUUUUUUGUCCAAGCAAAAAAGGAUAAAUAAAAAGGAGCUAGGGUUUGAAUUUUCAUUUCUCUGUCACUUCAAAAUGUUUUCCAAGUUGAAGUGAAAUUGUCCAUAUUUUCAUGCAAAUGCAAACAUACAUUGGUUCCUUUAAGGGUACAUUAUUUAAUUGAACUUUUUACAGCCAAAA